UACAGAGGUCUCAAGCGUUGUUCGGAUUCAUUGGGCGUAAAGGGUGCGCAGGCCGCGCGGGCAGUCAAAUGUGUAAUCCAGGGGCUCAACCCCUGAACUGCGCUUGAUACUUCCGCGCUCGAGCUUUGGAGAGGAGUCUGGAAUUCUCGGUGUAGCAGUGAAAUGCGUGGAUAUCGAGAAGAACACUUAGGGCGUAGGCAAGACUCUGGACAAAUGCUGACGCUCAUGCACGAAGGCUAGGGUAGCGAACGGG
Molecule: ribosomal RNA, 253 nt
Filed under: uncultured bacterium
Lineage: Bacteria
Description: partial 16S ribosomal RNA
Rfam family: Bacterial small subunit ribosomal RNA
Source: RNAcentral